GAAAUGCGAUAAGUAAUGUGAAUUGCAGAAUUCAGUGAAUCAUCGAAUCUUUGAACGCACAUUGCGCCCGCCAGUAUUCUGGCGGGCAUGCCUGUUCGAGCGUCAUUUCAACCAUCAAGCCCCCCGGCUUGUGUUGGGGACCUGCGGCUGCCGCAGGCCCUGAAAAGCAGUGGCGGGCUCGCUGUCACACCGAGCGUAGUAGCAUACAUCUCGCUCUGGGCGUGCUGCGGGUUCCGGCCGUUAAACCACCUUCGUAACCCAAGGUUGACCUCGGAUCAGGGAGGAAGACCCGCUGAACUUAAGC
RNAcentral lists this unclassified non-coding RNA (304 nucleotides) under plant metagenome. Its description in RNAcentral is "partial contains 5.8S ribosomal RNA, internal transcribed spacer 2, and large subunit ribosomal RNA". The stretch from base 1 to 105 matches the Rfam family "5.8S ribosomal RNA", at positions 50 to 154 of the family's 154-position model. The record is from RNAcentral.